This is a long non-coding RNA of Chrysolophus pictus (golden pheasant), 2098 nucleotides long. NCBI's taxonomy places the organism in Eukaryota, Metazoa, Chordata, Aves, Galliformes, Phasianidae. The record is from Ensembl.
GGGUGGUGCACAAGAGUGUGUUGCACGUAGUGACAUCCCUUGCACAAGGGGAGGUGCACGAAUGGCCCCGUUGCACAAGCAGUAGUGUGCAAAGGGAGCUCCCCUUGCACGAGGUGGCCUCUUGCACAAGAAGGGGUGCACAUAGGGCUCUCUUCUUGCACAAGGAGUGGUGCACGAGUGGCCACCUUGCACAAGCAGUAGUGUGCAAAGACAGCUCCCCUUGCACGAGACUGUCUCUUGCACAAGGGGUGGUGCACAAGGGUGUUGCACUAGGGGACGCCUCUUGCACGAGGGAUGGUGCAGUAGUGUGCAAAGAGAGCUCCCCUUGCACGAGACUGUCUCUUGCACAAGAAAGGGUGCACAUAGGGCACUCUUCUUGCACAAGGGGUUGCGCGUGAGAGUCUUACACAAGUGAAGGUGCAGAAAAAAGCCCUCCUCUUGCACAAGGGGUGGUGCACAAGUGUGUUGCACGUACUGACAUCUCUUGCACAAGGGGUGGUGCAUCAGAGCGUUGCACUAGGGGACGCCUCUUCCACAAGUGGAGGUGCCCAAAGUGCCCUCCUCUUGCACAAGGAGCGGCAUGCAAGUCUGUUGCACAAGGGCUCGUGCACAACUAGACCUCUUGCACAAACCGUGGUACACAAGGGGUCAUCCUCUUGCACAAGGGGUGGUGCACGAGUGCCGGCUCUUGCACGAGGGGUAGUGCACAACUCUGUUGCACAAGGGGGCACCUGUUGCACAAGGCCCUGUGUUGCACAAUAAAGGUGAACACAGCCCACUGUUGCACCACAGCGAUGCACAAAACCCCAUGUGGCACCUGAGUGUUGCACGAGGCCUUGUGUCACACCAUACAGGUGCACAAGAGCCAGCAGUGCACCACAGCGUUGCACACGGACCCACCCUCGUGUUGCACGAGGUCGUGUGUUGCACAGUGCUCUUGCACGAGGCCCCAUGUUGCACAAUGAGGCUGCACGAGGCCCAGCCUUGCACCACUGCCUUGCACAAGACCCUAUGUGGCACUGUAGUGUUGCACAAGGCCCAGUGUUGCACCAUACAGAUGUACAAGGCCCAGUGUUGCACCACAGCGUUGCACGAGGACCUGUGUUGCACCAUGAGGCUGCACGAGACCCAGCCUUGCACCACAGCAUUGCACGAGGCCCUAUCUUUCACUUCAGUGUUGCACAAGGCCCCGUGUGGCACUUUAGUGUUGCACAAGGCCCCAUGUUGCACACAACCCUAUGUUUCACCCUUGUGUUGCACAGUGAGGGUGCACAAGACCCACAGUUGCACUACUGCAUUGCACAAGGCCCUAUGCGGCACUUUAGUGUUGCACGAGGACCUGUGUUGCACAAUGAGGCCGCACGAGGCCCAGCAUUGCACUAUUGCCUUGCACAAGACCCUAUGUGGCACUGUAGUGUUGCACAAGGCCCAGUGUUGCACCAUACAGAUGUACAAGGCCCAGUGUUGCACCACAGCACUGCACACCCCAUGUGGAACCCUUGUGUUGCACAAGGCCCCGCGUGACACUUUAGUGUUGCACAAGGCCCCAUGUUGCACCACAGCGUUGCACGAGGACCUGUGUUGCACCAUGAGGCUGCACGAGGCCCAGUGUUGCACCACAGCGUUGCACACCACCCUGCAUCGCACCCUCGUGUUGCACAAGGCCCUAUCUUUCACUUCAGUGUUGCACAAGGCCCAGUGUGGCACUUUAGUGUUGCACAAGGCCCCGUGUUGCACCACAGCAUUGCACACCACCCUGCAUCGCACCCUCGUGUUGCACAAGGCCCUAUCUUUCACUUCAGUGUUGCACAAGGCCCCGUGUGGCACUUUAGUGUUGCACAAGGCCCCGUGUUGCACCACAGCAUUGCACACCACCCCACAUCUCACCCUUGUGUUGCACAAGGCCCAGUGUGGCACCUUAGUGUUGCACAAGGCCCCGUGUUGCACCACAGCGUUGCACACAACCCCACGCUUCACCCUUUUCACCCUCGUGUUGCACAAGGCCCGUGUGGCACGCAGUCCAGAUGCACCAGGACCCCUUGCACGAGGCCCCGUGUUGCACCACAGCGUUACACACAACCCCACGUUUCACCCUCGG